GACGAACGCUGGCGGCGUGCUUAACACAUGCAAGUCGAACGGAAAGGCCCUGCUUUUGUGGGGUGCUCGAGUGGCGAACGGGUGAGUAACACGUGAGUAACCUGCCCUUGACUUUGGGAUAACUUCAGGAAACUGGGGCUAAUACCGGAUAGGAGCUCCUGCUGCAUGGUGGGGGUUGGAAAGUUUCGGCGGUUGGGGAUGGACUCGCGGCUUAUCAGCUUGUUGGUGGGGUAGUGGCUUACCAAGGCUUUGACGGGUAGCCGGCCUGAGGGGGUGACCGGCCAAAUGGGGGUGGGGAUAGGGCCCGAGUCCCUCGGGGGGGAAGGAGGGGGGAAUAUGGCCAAAGGGGGGGAGGCCGGAUGCAGCAACCCCGGGGGGGGGAAGGCGGCCUUCGGGUUGGAAACGGCUUUCGCCUGGGAGGAAGGGUGGGGACGGGAAAUGGGGAAGAAAGCACGGGCUAAUACGGG
RNAcentral lists this ribosomal RNA (467 nucleotides) under uncultured bacterium. RNAcentral describes it as "partial 16S ribosomal RNA". It matches the Rfam family "Bacterial small subunit ribosomal RNA", at positions 28 to 506 of the family's 1533-position model. The record is from RNAcentral.